This 253-nucleotide ribosomal RNA is filed under the name uncultured bacterium. Its description in RNAcentral is "partial 16S ribosomal RNA". It matches the Rfam family "Bacterial small subunit ribosomal RNA", at positions 524 to 776 of the family's 1533-position model. The record is from RNAcentral.
UACGGAAUGUGCAAACGUUAUUCGGAAUCACUGGGCUUAAAGAGUCCGUAGGCGGCAUGUUAGGUGAGGUGUGAAAUCCCCCGGCUCAACCGAGGAAUUGCGCUUCAAACCGGCGUGCUAGAGGAAGAUAGAGGUGGGCGGAACUGAUGGUGGAGCGGUGAAAUGCGUUGAUAUCAUCAGGAACACCGGAGGCGAAAGCGGCCCACUGGGCCGAUACUGACGCUGAGGAGCGAAAGCGUGGGGAGCAAACAGG